UUCACCUGCUUCUCUCUCCCAUAGUCAUGGGCUCAAAAAUCCCUGGACUGGAGAGCAGAUGGACGAGUGCACCUUGAGAGCAGGGCAAGAAGAGACUAAAAUCCUUGGCACGGGAGAGCGUGGUGUCAGAGAACAGACUGAGCAGGUGGCGAAGAGCCAGGCCUUGGAGAGCCCGUGCCAUCACUCUGACACUGCUCGCUGCCACGACCUUGCUCUAAUCCCUUAACCUCCUCUUGGCUUUGAUCCUCCCUUCCCUUGGUGAAAGUGGGCGUGAAAGCUCACUGGCACCCAGGGUCAGAAGGACUAGGUGGCAGAUGCGAGUCCAGCCCUCUGAGGAGGGAGAGAACUGCAUUAGUGCUGAUUAUUAUUUUAUUACCUCUCUCCCCUAAACAUAUUGUCACCCGCUUGCAGUGUGCCACAUCCCUGCGAGGGCUCCUGGCUGCCAGGCUGGAUUCAGGGCCACUUUACCAGGACUGGGAAGCGUGUCCAGGAUUGACGGAGCUGCUCCACGCUGGGUCCCAUGAGACAGGCAGGACAGCCCUGUCCUUCCUGCCUGGGGACACAGCACCAUCCUCUUCCUCCUCUGCGCGGGUGGCCCCACCGGACUCUGAAGCGAAGCUGUGAAGGACUGCUGCAACGUGCAUGAGUGGAAAGCAAAGGAGAGACCAAAGCCCACCAAGCCUCUGGCGUCCGAUCCCCCAGCAUCCUGACUUCAUCUGACUUGGGUAGGUCAACCACUUGGA
RNAcentral lists this long non-coding RNA (743 nucleotides) under Struthio camelus australis. Its description in RNAcentral is "lncRNA (ENSSCUG00000010910.1)". Lineage: Eukaryota; Metazoa; Chordata; Aves; Struthioniformes; Struthionidae. The record is from RNAcentral.